CAGCCUCCUCAUCACCUCCUGCACCCCGAGCUCUCUCUCUCUCUCUCUCUCCCUCUCCCUCCCUCUCUCUCCCUCUCUCCCUCUUCCUCUCCCCCUCCCCCUCCCCUUCCCCUCCCUCCCUCUCACAGAAAAUUUCUCUCUGUGCCGAAGCUGGGGAGGCCAAGGUCAAGGUGCCCACGGACAGGCAGACCUGCUGAGGACCUGCUCACUAGGACAGGGGAGGCAGCCAUAGAGUCACAGGAGACUCAGCGAGCCUGGUGCUGAGGCUCAUGCAAGCCAAGGGGCACCCAGGGCUGCUGAUGACCCCAGGAGGAGCCAGGCCUGGACAGAUGCUCCCUCAGAGCCCCAGGAAGGAGCAGCC
This is a long non-coding RNA of Heterocephalus glaber (naked mole-rat), 361 nucleotides long. Lineage: Eukaryota; Metazoa; Chordata; Mammalia; Rodentia; Bathyergidae. The record is from Ensembl.